Molecule: ribosomal RNA, 253 nt
Filed under: uncultured bacterium
Lineage: Bacteria
Description: partial 16S ribosomal RNA
Rfam family: Bacterial small subunit ribosomal RNA
Source: RNAcentral
UACAGAGGUCUCAAGCGUUGUUCGGAUUCAUUGGGCGUAAAGGGUGCGUAGGCGGCGCGGUAAGUCGGGUGUGAAAUCUUGGAGCUUAACUCCGAAACUGCAUUCGAUACUGCCGUGCUUGAGGACCGGAGAGGAGACUGGAAUUUACGGUGUAGCGGUGAAAUGCGUAGAUAUCGUAAGGAAGACCAGUGGCGAAGGCGGGUCUCUGGACAGUUCCUGACGCUGAGGCACGAAGGUCAGGGGAGCAAACGGG